AUUCUUGGUCAUUUAGAGGAAGUAAAAGUCGUAACAAGGUUUCCGUAGGUGAACCUGCGGAAGGAUCAUUAACGAGAUUUUCGUCGAGGAGGGUUGUAGCUGGCCUCACUUGGCACGUGCACGCCCGGAAUCGCGGAUCUCACCCUCCACACCUGUGCACAUCCCGCAGCUUUGCGACGCAGAUGAUAUGGAAUUUUUUCUGGUUCGGAUGUGUCCUGGGCUUGCGAGCUUUUUUUUAUCACACACACUUUUUGUCAAGUAUCAGAAUGUUGCAGCGCAUAAAAGCGCGAAAUAAUACAACUUUCAGCAACGGAUCUCUUGGCUCUCGCAUCGAUGAAGAACGCAGCGAAAUGCGAUAAGUAAUGUGAAUUGCAGAAUUCAGUGAAUCAUCGAAUCUUUGAACGCACCUUGCGCUCCUUGGUAUUCCGAGGAGCAUGCCUGUUUGAGUGUCAUGAAAUUAUCAACUGCCUUGGUGGGAUUUUGCUCCCGAAAGGGUGAAGUUGGAUUUGGAGGAAGAUUUUGCUGGCGGCUCUUUGAUGGGCUUUGUUGGCACCUCUAGAAAGCAUGAGCCUUCCUGUGCACGAGCGAAGCGACUCUCUGAUGUGAUAACCAUCUACGUCGGAAGGGUCGCGUUCGGAUUGAGCAUGAAUGGAUUGCAAAACGCGGAUCGCAUCUUUCAUGAUGCGUCCUUGACAAAUUCGACCUCAAAUCAGGUAGGACUACCCGCUGAACUUAAGCAUAUCA
Molecule: ribosomal RNA, 744 nt
Filed under: Phellodon alboniger
Lineage: Eukaryota; Fungi; Basidiomycota; Agaricomycetes; Thelephorales; Thelephoraceae
Description: eukaryotic LSU rRNA
Rfam family: 5.8S ribosomal RNA (bases 299-452)
Source: RNAcentral